CAGUAGCCGCGGGAAUACAGAGGGUGCGAGCGUUAAUCGGAUUUACUGGGCGUAAAGCGUGCGUAGGCGGCUUUUUAAGUCGGAUGUGAAAUCCCUGAGCUUAACUUAGGAAUUGCAUUCGAUACUGGGAAGCUAGAGUAUGGGAGAGGAUGGUAGAAUUCCAGGUGUAGCGGUGAAAUGCGUAGAGAUCUGGAGGAAUACCGAUGGCGAAGGCAGCCAUAUGGCCUAAUACUGACGCUGAGGUACGAAAGCAUGGGGAGCAAACAGGAUUAGAUACCCCGGUAGUCCCUGUCUCUUAUAC
Molecule: ribosomal RNA, 301 nt
Filed under: uncultured bacterium
Lineage: Bacteria
Description: partial 16S ribosomal RNA
Rfam family: Bacterial small subunit ribosomal RNA
Source: RNAcentral